RNAcentral lists this ribosomal RNA (496 nucleotides) under uncultured bacterium. Its description in RNAcentral is "partial 16S ribosomal RNA". It matches the Rfam family "Bacterial small subunit ribosomal RNA", at positions 28 to 506 of the family's 1533-position model. The record is from RNAcentral.
GACGAACGCUGGCGGCGUGCCUAAUACAUGCAAGUAGAACGCUGAAGCUUGGUGCUUGCACCGAGCGGAUGAGUUGCGAACGGGUGAGUAACGCGUAGGUAACCUGCCUGGUAGCGGGGGAUAACUAUUGGAAACGAUAGCUAAUACCGCAUAAGAGUAGAUGUUGCAUGACAUUUGCUUAAAAGGUGCAAUUGCAUCACUACCAGAUGGACCUGCGUUGUAUUAGCUAGUUGGUGAGGUAACGGCUCACCAAGGCAACGAUACAUAGCCGACCUGAGAGGGUGAUCGGCCACACUGGGACUGAGACACGGCCCAGACUCCUACGGGAGGCAGCAGUAGGGAAUCUUCGGCAAUGGACGGAAGUCUGACCGAGCAACGCCGCGUGAGUGAAGAAGGUUUUCAGAUCGUAAAGCUCUGUUGUAAGAGAAGAACGAGUGUGAGAGUGGAAAGUUCACACUGUGACGGUAUCUUACCAGAAAGGGACGGCUAACUACGU